This 62-nucleotide transfer RNA is filed under the name Megaustenia imperator imperator. RNAcentral's name for it is "tRNA-Cys". The record is from RNAcentral. Lineage: Eukaryota; Metazoa; Mollusca; Gastropoda; Stylommatophora; Ariophantidae.
GAAAUAGUAGUUUAACUUAAAAUAUUAAAUUGCAAAUUUAAAGAUGACUUAGUCUUAUUUUU